This is a long non-coding RNA of Cyprinus carpio (common carp), 1983 nucleotides long. Lineage: Eukaryota; Metazoa; Chordata; Actinopteri; Cypriniformes; Cyprinidae. The record is from Ensembl.
CCAGGGCAGAUUUUUCCUGUCCAAACAAGGGCUGCCAGUUGGCAACGUCACGAGUGACAUCAGGCGUCUGCAUGAACAGUACGAUUUACCAAGCUUUUCAAGCCAGCAAGCCAGAAGAGCCCAAAUUACUAUGGCAUGCUCUUCUUCUGAUGAUCCGGCCGAUGAGAGGAGAGUUCGGAAACAGAAGAGAGGCAGAGGCCCAGCUGACCAGGAUGACAGGGACUUUGGAGCAUUUCUCCUGCAGUUUCCAGCGACGGCGAGUAGCACCCCGCCCACAAAAAAGAAGCGGACCGCUGCGGGAUUUCCACCUGACAAAAUGUUUUAUAACAGGUGGAGGUCUGUGCAGUUGGCCAAGCGGGAGGAGCUCCUCUUGUGUAAGUUGGUGUGCUUUAUUAUAAAAAAAUUCAUACAUAUUUCUAUAAUCAAAGUAACAUAAUUCACAUUAUGGACAAGAAUUUUAAUUUAACAUUUGUCUUUGACAGCCCAGUGUUCAAGACGGCCCNNNNNNNNNNNNNNNNNNNNNNGCUGAUCCAAAAAGAGGGUUGGACUGGCAACUGUCCUCGCCCCGAAGACAUAGUGGCAAAGUGGAGACCCGUCACUAGGGUGCAGGUGGAGUCGGAUCCAUGGAUCAUCACUAAGAUCCAGAAUCAAAAGUGGACAGGCCUGGCCCUCAAGGACUUUGGCACAAAAGGACAAGGAGUUGUUGCCACCAAAGCCUUUGCCAUGGGCUCCAUCGUUUGUGAUUACCAUGGAAAGGUAAUCACAGGAGCAGAGGGCCGGAAGUUGGUCGAGUCCAUCAAGGGUGAUACAGCCUACCUUUUCUUUUUCCAGGCUGCUGGUCGGGACCUCUGUGUGGACGCUGAGACUUUCCCUUGUGAGUGUCACCCAACAGAAAACACCAUGGGCCGGAUGAUCAAUCAUUCCUCCAAGAGAGCAAACCUGAGGCCAGUCCACUGCAUGAUGAACUUCCCUUUGUACUCCUGGAGUGGAUACUAAUUGCACCUUCUUUUGACCACAGGAGUUGUUGCCACCAAAGCCUUUGCCAUGGGCUCCAUCGUUUGUGAUUACCAUGGAAAGGUAAUCACAGGAGCAGAGGGCCGGAAGUUGGUCGAGUCCAUCAAGGGUGAUACAGCCUACCUUUUCUUUUUCCAGGCUGCUGGUCGGGACCUCUGUGUGGACGCUGAGACUUUCCCUUGUGAGUGUCACCCAACAGAAAACACCAUGGGCCGGAUGAUCAAUCAUUCCUCCAAGAGAGCAAACCUGAGGCCAGUCCACUGCAUGAUGAACUUCCCUGAAGGACAGAGGGAUGUCAUCCUGUUCCAGGCGAAAAGAGACAUUCAUUUAUGCGAGGAGCUGCUGUUUGAUUAUACAUCGUCAAGUGCCAUUCUUUUCGAGGAGAAGCAAUGACCUUGACUGGCUGGAUGAGUGAACAUCAGGCCAUUCAUUCACCAGUCCGCCCCAUCACAUCAAGGCCAACGGUCGAGUCCAUCAAGGGUGAUACAGCCUACCUGUUCUUUUUCCAGGCUGCUGGUCGGGACCUCUGUGUGGACGCUGAGACUUUCCCUUGUGAGUGUCACCCGACAGAAAACACCAUGGGCCCGAUGAUCAAUCAUUCCUCCAAGAGAGCAAACCUGAGGCCAGUCCACUGCAUGAUGAACUUCCCUGAAGGACAGAGGGAUGUCACCCGGUUCCAGGCGAAAAGAGGCAUUCAUUUAUGCGAGGAGCUGCUGUUUGAUUAUACAUCGUCAAGUGCCAUUCUUUUCGAGGAGAAGCAAUGACCUUGACUGGCUGGAUGAGUGAACAUCAGGCCAUUCAUUCACCAGUCCGCCCCAUCACAUCAAGGCCAAGACUGAUGGACCAUACGGACCACAAACAUAUUUGCAAUCUGAAAAAAUAUAUACACUGCACGUUGUUUGCACAUUUUUGACACUGUUUUCAAUUUUAUUAUGUACAUAACAGACAAUAAAGAUUAUAUUCUAUGCA